RNAcentral lists this ribosomal RNA (468 nucleotides) under uncultured bacterium. Its description in RNAcentral is "partial 16S ribosomal RNA". It matches the Rfam family "Bacterial small subunit ribosomal RNA", at positions 28 to 507 of the family's 1533-position model. The record is from RNAcentral.
GACGAACGCUGGCGGCGUGCUUAACACAUGCAAGUCGAACGGAAAGGCCCUGCUUUUGUGGGGUGCUCGAGUGGCGAACGGGUGAGUAACACGUGAGUAACCUGCCCUUGACUUUGGGAUAACUUCAGGAAACUGGGGCUAAUACCGGAUAGGAGCUCCUGCUGCAUGGUGGGGGUUGGAAAGUUUCGGCGGUUGGGGAUGGACUCGCGGCUUAUCAGCUUGUUGGUGGGGUAGUGGCUUACCAAGGCUUUGACGGGUAGCCGGCCUGAGAGGGUGACCGGCCACAUGGGGACUGAGAUACGGCGCAGACUCCUACGGGAGGCAGCAGUGGGGAAUAUUGCACAAUGGGCGGAAGCCUGAUGCAGCAACGCCGCGUGCGGGAUGACGGCCUUCGGGUUGUAAACCGCUUUCGCCUGUGACGAAGCGUGAGUGACGGUAAUGGGUAAAGAAGCACCGGCUAACUACGUG